CACAAAAUCAUGAUCAUGGGAUUCUGCUACAAAUUGUAAGGAUUUGAAGAGAAAAUCACAUCAAUCAAUCUUUCCAACCCUAUCCAAUCAAGCAUCAUCCAUUCCGGUCUGAGCUCACCAGCAAUAAUUGGUAGAACGAUGCCGAUGGGAGUGUGCAUGAAGUGGAUGAGGCGUGUUUGGAUAGCGUUGGUCAGGAUUCUUCUUUCGGAUUUUCAGCCGCUGAGGUAGGGUGCACCACGCCGCGCAAGUGAGAUCUGCAGCCUCAACUCAAGUCAAAUUUAACAAGUCACACGUUUUGUCCUCAUCACGUUAUGGCUUCCUUCUUAUCUUCCUUUUCUUUUCUACUUCUCACAAAUUACUACCCAUGCCCAUCCCCAUCCCAUGCUCCUUUAUUUAUUCUUUUCUUUUUUCUAUAUAUAUAUUUUUCUUUAUAAAGGAUUCAAGUUGGUUCUCGACUUUUCUUGGGAUUUAGAUCCGUUGCCUAUAUUUCACAAAAAAAAGGUGUCAUCAUUAAGUUAUUUGUUCGUCCCUUCGUACUCUUUUAUUUAUGCCACUCUUAAUUACAUUACAUAUCUAAUAGGAAAAAUGUAUUAUGGCAAGUCAAAAAGACCAAAAUGUUCUUCAAAAAAAAAAAAAAAAAA
Molecule: non-coding RNA, 641 nt
Organism: Sesamum indicum (sesame)
Lineage: Eukaryota; Viridiplantae; Streptophyta; Magnoliopsida; Lamiales; Pedaliaceae
Source: RefSeq, a predicted model, not a curated record